RNAcentral lists this ribosomal RNA (442 nucleotides) under Selenomonas sp. oral taxon E44. RNAcentral describes it as "bacterial SSU rRNA". It matches the Rfam family "Bacterial small subunit ribosomal RNA", at positions 28 to 451 of the family's 1533-position model. The record is from RNAcentral. Lineage: Bacteria; Bacillati; Bacillota; Negativicutes; Selenomonadales; Selenomonadaceae.
GACGAACGCUGGCGGCGUGCUUAACACAUGCAAGUCGAACGGAGCGAAUGAAAGCUUGCUUUUAUGAGCUUAGUGGCAAACGGGUGAGUAACACGUAGACAACCUGCCGACAGGGUGGGGACAACAUUCCGAAAGGAAUGCUAAUACCGAAUGAAGCGGAGGAGAGGCAUCUCUCCUCCGUGAAAGAUGGCCUCUGAAAAUGCUAUCACCUGUCGAUGGGUCUGCGUCUGAUUAGCUAGUUGGUGAGGUAACGGCUCACCAAGGCGACGAUCAGUAGCCGGUCUGAGAGGAUGAACGGCCACAUUGGGACUGAGACACGGCCCAGACUCCUACGGGAGGCAGCAGUGGGGAAUCUUCCGCAAUGGGCGCAAGCCUGACGGAGCAACGCCGCGUGAGUGAAGAAGGUCUUCGGAUCGUAAAGCUCUGUUGACGGGGACGAACG